RNAcentral lists this ribosomal RNA (449 nucleotides) under uncultured soil bacterium. RNAcentral's name for it is "bacterial SSU rRNA". It matches the Rfam family "Bacterial small subunit ribosomal RNA", at positions 26 to 482 of the family's 1533-position model. The record is from RNAcentral.
AGAAUGAACGCUGGCGGCGUGCUUUACACAUGCAAGUCGAGCGAGGCGGCCCGCAAGGGUCAGUCGAGCGGCGAACGGGUGAGUAACGCGUGGAUAACCUGCCCUGAGGUGUGGAACAACCAGGGGGAAACUCUGGCUAAUACCGCAUGAUACCGAGAGGUCAAAGGGGGCUCGCAAGAGCUCUCGCCACAGGGAGGGGUCCGCGUUCGAUUAGCUAGUUGGUAGGGUAAUGGCCUACCAAGGCGACGAUCGAUAGCCGGCCUGAGAGGGUGAUCGGCCACACUGGAACUGAGACACGGUCCAGACUCCUACGGGAGGCAGCAGUGGGAAUUUGCGCAAUGGGCUAACGCCUGACGCAGCAACGCCGCGUGGAGGAUGAAGGUCCUUGGAUUGUAAACUCCUGUCAGACGAGGAAAAGUCAACCGUGACCUCAUACGUCAGGUAACGUU